UCUAAGUAUAACCUGCCAGACAGGGAAACUGCGUACGGCUCAUUACACCAGCCUUAAUUUACUUGACCUUGACAACCUACUUGGAUAACUGUGGUAAUUCUAGAGCUAAUACAUGCACCAAAGCUCCGAUCCUCGCGGAGAGGAGCGCAUUUGUUCGCCACAUAACCAAGCGCCCAUCUGGGCGUCCAGUGCUGAACCAGAACAACUCAGCUGAUCGCACGGUCUUGUACCGGCGACGUGUCUUUCAAGUGUCUGCCUUAUCAACUUUCGAUGGUAGUGUACCUGACUACCAUGGUUGUGACGGGUAACGGAGGAUAAGGGUUCGACUCCGGAGAAGGGGCCUGAGAAAUGGCCACUACGUCUAAGGAUGGCAGCAGGCGCGCAAAUUACCCACUCUCAACGCGAGGAGGUAGUGACGAGAAAUAACGAGACCGUUCUCAUACGAGGCCGGUUAUUGGAAUGGGUACAAUUUAAA
Molecule: ribosomal RNA, 475 nt
Filed under: unidentified nematode Sourhope farm
Lineage: Eukaryota; Metazoa; Nematoda
Description: SSU rRNA
Rfam family: Eukaryotic small subunit ribosomal RNA
Source: RNAcentral